RNAcentral lists this ribosomal RNA (434 nucleotides) under uncultured Coprococcus sp. RNAcentral describes it as "partial 16S ribosomal RNA". It matches the Rfam family "Bacterial small subunit ribosomal RNA", at positions 341 to 792 of the family's 1533-position model. Lineage: Bacteria; Bacillati; Bacillota; Clostridia; Lachnospirales; Lachnospiraceae. The record is from RNAcentral.
ACGGAAGGCAGCAGUGGGGAAUAUUGCACAAUGGGGGAAACCCUGAUGCAGCGACGCCGCGUGAAGGAUGAAGUAUUUCGGUAUGUAAACUUCUAUCAGCAGGGAAGAUGAUGACGGUACCUGACUAAGAAGCCCCGGCUAACUACGUGCCAGCAGCCGCGGUAAUACGUAGGGGGCAAGCGUUAUCCGGAUUUACUGGGUGUAAAGGGAGCGUAGGCGGCUGAGUAAGUCAGAAGUGAAAGCCCGGGGCUCAACCCCGGGACGGCUUUUGAAACUGCCCGGCUUGAUUUCAGGAGAGGAAAGCGGAAUUCCUAGUGUAGCGGUGAAAUGCGUAGAUAUUAGGAGGAACACCAGUGGCGAAGGCGGCUUACUGGACUGUAACUGACGUUGAGGCUCGAAAGCGUGGGGAGCAAACAGGAUUAGAUACCCUGGUA